GAUUGGUGCCUUCGGGAACUGUGAGACAGGUGCUGCAUGGCUGUCGUCAGCUCGUGUUGUGAAAUGUUGGGUUAAGUCCCGCAACGAGCGCAACCCUUAUCCUUUGUUGCCAGCGAUUAGGUCGGGAACUCAAAGGAGACUGCCAGUGAUAAACUGGAGGAAGGUGGGGAUGACGUCAAGUCAUCAUGGCCCUUACGACCAGGGCUACACACGUGCUACAAUGGCGCAUACAAAGAGAAGCGACCUCGCGAGAGCAAGCGGACCUCAUAAAGUGCGUCGUAGUCCGGAUUGGAGUCUGCAACUCGACUCCAUGAAGUCGGAAUCGCUAGUAAUCGUGGAUCAGAAUGCCACGGUGAAUACGUUCCCGGGCCUUGUACACACCGCCCGUCACACCAUGGGAGUGGGUUGCAAAAGAAGUAGGUAGCUUAACCUUCGGGAGGGCGCUUACCACUUUGUGAUUCAUGACUGGGGUGAAGUCGUAACAAGGUAACCGUAGGGGAACCUGCGGUUGGA
Molecule: ribosomal RNA, 513 nt
Filed under: Salmonella enterica
Lineage: Bacteria; Pseudomonadati; Pseudomonadota; Gammaproteobacteria; Enterobacterales; Enterobacteriaceae
Also listed under: 3 other names
Description: bacterial SSU rRNA
Rfam family: Bacterial small subunit ribosomal RNA
Source: RNAcentral